RNAcentral lists this transfer RNA (74 nucleotides) under Klebsormidium nitens. Its description in RNAcentral is "tRNA-Arg (TCG) (tRNA-Arg-TCG-1-1)". It matches the Rfam family "tRNA". Rfam says of the family: Transfer RNA (tRNA) molecules are approximately 80 nucleotides in length. Lineage: Eukaryota; Viridiplantae; Streptophyta; Klebsormidiophyceae; Klebsormidiales; Klebsormidiaceae. The record is from Rfam by way of RNAcentral.
GGCCUCGUGGUGUAGUGGAUUAGCACAUUGGACUUCGGAUCCAAAGGUCGCGGGUUCGAUUCCCGUCGCGGUCA